GGUUUCUGUACAGCACUUUGAGAUAUCAGCUGAUGUACGAAGGGCUAUAUAAAAAUACAUUUGAUUUGAUUUGAUUAAUAGGAGUGGAAUUAAAAUUAAAAUGGAUCGAAUUACAGGGGUUUUCACCUCAUUGCCACUGCCCACUGCUGAACCACUCCAUAACACCACUGGAUAUCAUAAGGUGAAUGCACCAUUUUGUAAGUCGCUCUGGAUAAGAGCGUCUGCUAAAUGACUUAAAUGUAAAUGUAAAUAACAAAGGUCAACUGCUGUAUGUACAGUAUGUCAAACGGACACCAAAAACUUUGACAUUGAUCCACAUCUCUUUUUCUGGUCACCCCAAUAAUUCUUCAAUGUGGAAUUGGAAUCCUUGAUUACAGUGUAGAAAGCAGAUAACACCCAAUAGUGGAGUCACAGAGAGAGACUGUCUGGGAACCAUAUUUGGUGAUAUGAUUUGAGAUCUGACUGUGUGCCUUAUUAUUGUGAUAGUAAGGAAUGCAUUACUUUUUGCUAUCACUAUGCAGCCAGCUGUUGGAUGCAGAUUUAUUUCAGUCCUAGAACAAGAGCAGCAGUGGAGAGUUUGUUUUUGGAAACACACAUUUAUACACACACACAAACGCACAAAGCAUAUACUCACUACUACCAUGUUUUAACUACCAGUCAUACGUAACAUAAACACACAGAGCACACAUUCCCCCCCCCUUUCCCACUCUCACAUUCUUUUUUAUCAUCCUCUCUUUCACACACACGCAUACACGCACGCACACAGUAAUUAUGUAAUGGCUCUGGAAAGGGGGGUGAAAUAUUUUGGCUGCGGAUUAUGCUCCACGUGCAUCAUCAAGAUGUUUCCUGGUUGUGGUUCAGGUAUUGGCUGCUAAGGCUGAUCUGAAUGAUGAAUGGGACUUAAUUUGGCAGACUAUGGGAGAAGUAGUAACGAUCCAAUAUUCCCCUCUGAUUUAACUCACUUCUCUUCUACAAAAUGCCUAGCAGACUCAGUUUCUAGUGUCUAAUGCUUAUAUCCCCCAUCCUCUCUCCCUCAUGCCCUACAGCAGGUGUCAGGCGAUCACCAGGGAAACAAGUGCAAACAAAGUAAAGGUACACCUGGACCAUGCCAGGUGGAGAAUCAAGACUGGGCUCCCUUAGGACCAACAUAAAAACUGUCUGGCAGCUCGCAUCACAUCCUGUUUUAGAGGGCCAAGGGAUGCAUCCUCGCCUCAACAUACUGCCACCAGAUGCACUACGUCCUCUCAGCCCUGUAUAAUUGUUAGCAUAUGGUCAAAGGGAAAAGCUCUCUGUGACAUUUUCUAAAGAGGCUAGUUGCAGCCUCAAGGCUAAGCGACUCUGUUAAAGCACAGCAUGGUUGUUUUAUAGAGCUGUGUAAAGCAUCCACAGCUGACCAGACUGUGUGUGUGUGUGUCUCAUUAGACUAAAGUGGCUUCCUGUCUUUCAUCUGCAGAAAUAUUUCACCUAUCUUGUGACUUUACCGUCCGAUUCCACGCUCAAGGCUACGGAUAAUGGAAAGGAAAUGAGGAGAAAGGAGUUAAUUUAGAGUUUUCAGGGUACUAGCUUAGUUCUUGUCUAAUAGGUUAGACAGUAAGAUGCUGUCUGCUGUUGCUCCUGAACAGGAUGUCAGGGGAGUAGAGGAGGCAGAUAAUGACUAUUCAUUGAUCAGACUACCUGAAGGUGGAGUCUCGGUAUAUGUGCUUGUCACCAUACAAUAGGCCUUCCUUCCCACUGAUUCUGAUACUGAGUUCUUUCUGUUUUACACAUCAGAUUGGUGCGUGUCUCUAAGAAUGAUAGAUUCAAAGGUUGGGACAUAAUCGAAAGGGAUACACAUAGGCCUACUCUGUAAAAAUAUAUAAUAGCCAACUGUAAUCUCUAACCUCUAACUUCCCUAAUGUCAAACUUGAAGCAAGGGAAUAACAAUGAUACAUGUAAAGCGUUUAUUUUUCAUCAUCCGUUACCCUCAAAUGUUUACAAUGGAAUAUUUGGAGAUCCAGAGACCUAGUUUACAUCCAACUCUCACUGUCCACACAGUGUUGGUGGUCCUCAAAGUGUUUUAGAGAACUUGUCGGGACGCCACAACCAGUUUAUGCUACGCCCUGGUAGACGUGGUACAUAUUUACAUGAUCCACUUCAAACACACAUGCAAACAGAUGUGUACAGGCACGUCUAUACUAACGAAGAGUUCAUCCAAACUCAUUGAAUACAAUCUUGAUGUGUUUGCUGUUUGAUGCAAUGGAAUAAAUCAAGGUUAAAUUCA
This is a long non-coding RNA of Salmo salar (Atlantic salmon), 2260 nucleotides long. RefSeq lists it as uncharacterized. NCBI's taxonomy places the organism in Eukaryota, Metazoa, Chordata, Actinopteri, Salmoniformes, Salmonidae. The record is from RefSeq and is a predicted model, not a curated record.